UUCAUACGAAAAAUCAUGGCGCUGGACGAAAAACAUGUAACUAUGGGGUACGUGUUAAAGGAGAAAAUUAUGCGGAUUCAUCUGAUGAAGCGGAUUUCUACGGUACCUUAACUGAUAUCAUAGAACUCGAGUAUGAGGGCAUCGUCAAUUUGAAAAUCACACUUUUUAAGUGUAAGUGGUAUGACCCUGUGAUUGGUAGAGGCACUCGGCGAAGCCAUGGUGACGUUGUAGACGUUCUAUCAUCUAGGAAAUACAAUAACUACGAGCCAUUUAUUCUAGGUACGUAAUUAAGAAUACAUUAAGUUCUCUGUUAAUUAUU
Molecule: small RNA, 319 nt
Filed under: Arabidopsis thaliana (thale cress)
Lineage: Eukaryota; Viridiplantae; Streptophyta; Magnoliopsida; Brassicales; Brassicaceae
Description: ATSL264290
Source: RNAcentral